RNAcentral lists this ribosomal RNA (496 nucleotides) under uncultured bacterium. Its description in RNAcentral is "partial 16S ribosomal RNA". It matches the Rfam family "Bacterial small subunit ribosomal RNA", at positions 28 to 506 of the family's 1533-position model. The record is from RNAcentral.
GAUGAACGCUGGCGGCGUGCCUAAUACAUGCAAGUCGAGCGAACAGAUAAGGAGCUUGCUCCUUUGAAGUUAGCGGCGGACGGGUGAGUAACACGUGGGUAACCUACCUAUAAGACUGGGAUAACUUCGGGAAACCGGAGCUAAUACCGGAUAACAUUUAGAACCGCAUGGUUCUAAAGUGAAAGAUGGUUUUGCUAUCACUUAUAGAUGGACCCGCGCCGUAUUAGCUAGUUGGUAAGGUAACGGCUUACCAAGGCGACGAUACGUAGCCGACCUGAGAGGGUGAUCGGCCACACUGGAACUGAGACACGGUCCAGACUCCUACGGGAGGCAGCAGUAGGGAAUCUUCCGCAAUGGGCGAAAGCCUGACGGAGCAACGCCGCGUGAGUGAUGAAGGGUUUCGGCUCGUAAAACUCUGUUAUUAGGGAAGAACAAAUGUGUAAGUAACUGUGCACAUCUGGACGGUACCUAAGCAGAAAGCCACGGCUAACUACGG